CCUACGGGUGGCAGCAGUGGGGGAUAUUGCACAAUGGAGGAAACUCUGAUGCAGCGACGCCGCGUGAGGGAAGACGGUCUUCGGAUUUUAAACUUCUUUUAAGGGGGACGAGCAGAAGACGGUACCCCUUGAAUAAGCCCCGGCUAACUACGUGCCAGCAGCCGCGGUAAUACGUAGGUGGCAAGCUUUGUCCGGAUUUACUGGGGGUAAAGGGCGUGCAGCCGGAGAGACAAGUCAGAUGUGAAAUCCACGGUCUCAAACCGUGAACUGAAUUUGAAACUGUUUCCCUUGAGUGUCGGAGAGGUAAUCGGAAUUCCUUGUGUAGCGGUGAAAUGCGUAGAUAUAAGGAAGAACACCAGUGGCGAAGGCGGAUUACUGGACGAUAACUGACGGUGAGGCGCGAAAGCGUGGGGAGCAAACAGGAUUAGAUACCCCAGUAGUC
This 442-nucleotide ribosomal RNA is filed under the name uncultured bacterium. RNAcentral describes it as "partial 16S ribosomal RNA". It matches the Rfam family "Bacterial small subunit ribosomal RNA", at positions 338 to 795 of the family's 1533-position model. The record is from RNAcentral.